AUUUGCCAAUCAUUUUGCAGCCAAAUGAUGAUUUUGAAACAAUUUUCUUUAAGUUGUGAUCAAUGUUAGUUUUCUUUAAGCUGAUAAUUAUUAUUCUGUAUGAAUGUUUUAUAAUUAGGGGUUCUGGAUCUCAUCCCAAAUCCCGCCCCCAUAUGCUCUCUCCCCCUCUCUCUUUGCCGAUUCAAGAAGAUGAAGGUGAUGGCGAUUUGCCGAUUCAAGAAGAUGAAGGCGAUGGCGAUUCAAGCCGAUUGGAUCAUGUGGUAUUGGCUACAUUGAUUUGUUCAUAUUAUUGUUUAUUUUUGUUCAUAUUACAUUCUUUUUUACCAAUCAGUUCAAAUUAGGGUUUUAAUUUGUUAAGUUUUGUUACAUCUAUUGAGAUUAUAAAAAAAAAGCAGUGUGGGCUGUGUCAAUUACAUGUGCGCUCAUGGGUUUAUGGUCCGGAUUCAAGUACGAAGAGAUGACUCUGUGUUAAGAGCAAAGAUGAAGAUUUUCAAGGUUUAUGCAAGCAUAUGGAGGGACUGACGGAUGAUGUUGAAAAAUCAAAUGAGAUGCUGCUAAUCUUAGAAGAGAAGCUUAACGACAGAGAAGCCGGGAUCAAAAGAUUAAGGCAUCAGCUGCAACAAUAUGAUGUGGUGGAGGAAAAAACUGACACACUUGCUACUGAUGAAAAAGAUACCAAUGCGGAUGUUACUGUGCCUAUGGAACCGGAACCUGAACCCAAAACCAAACUCGAAAAUGAGGAAUUAUAGGAAGCCUGAGUGUCGGUUUUUCAUGAAACCCAGAGAGGUGUUUGGCUUCAGCAUCUUACAUAUGGUGUUUUGGGUCUACGAUUACAGGCAAUAUGAGCAUUUUAACAAGUACGACUAUAUGCUUUUUGGCUUUUGCACUGGAUGGACUUCAAUUGGUUGCCGGAGCAGAGAAUGCGUUUGAGUCUGGGACACUAAAACUCAUAAUAUUAUGCGUGUUUUCAAGCAUGCAAAAGGAAACCGAGAGAGGUAUUUGCCUUCAGCAUCUUACAUAUGGUGUUUUGGGUCUAUGGUUACAGGCAAUAUGAGCAUUUUAACAAGGUACAUGCAAUAAUACAACAUAUGUGACAUAACUUUUUAUCUCUUUUCCCUUCAUUUUUUCAUUAUAUUAGU
This is a long non-coding RNA of Helianthus annuus (common sunflower), 1139 nucleotides long. RefSeq lists it as uncharacterized. The record is from RefSeq and is a predicted model, not a curated record. The transcript is spliced from 7 exons. Lineage: Eukaryota; Viridiplantae; Streptophyta; Magnoliopsida; Asterales; Asteraceae.